UACAAAGUAAUGCAUUACUGUAAUCACAUUACAUUUGUCAGUACCACAGUAAUGGAACAAGUUAAAUGCUCUAGAUUCAGUAG
This is a long non-coding RNA of Thalassophryne amazonica, 83 nucleotides long. RefSeq lists it as uncharacterized. NCBI's taxonomy places the organism in Eukaryota, Metazoa, Chordata, Actinopteri, Batrachoidiformes, Batrachoididae. The record is from RefSeq and is a predicted model, not a curated record. The transcript has 3 exons.